CUACGUGCCAGCAGCCGCGGUAAUACGGAAGGUCCAGGCGUUAUCCGGAUUUAUUGGGUUUAAAGGGAGCGUAGGCGGAUUGUUAAGUCAGCGGUUAAAGGGUGUGGCUCAACCAUACAUUGCCGUUGAAACUGGCGAUCUUGAGUGCAGACAGGGAUGCCGGAAUUCGUGGUGUAGCGGUGAAAUGCUUAGAUAUCACGAAGAACUCCGAUCGCGAAGGCAGGUGUCCGGGCUGCAACUGACGCUGAGGCUCGAAAGUGUGGGUAUCAAACAGGAUUAGAUACCCUGGUAGUCCACACAGUAAACGAUGUAUACUCGCGGUUUGCGAUAGAGUGUAAGCCGCCAAGCGAAAGCAUUAAGUAUACCACCUGGGGAGUACGCCGGCAACGGUGAAACUCAAAGGAAUUGACGGGGGCCCGCACAAGCGGAGGAACAUGUGGUUUAAUUCGAUGAUACGCGAGGAACCUUACCCGGGCUUGAACUAACGGUGACGAAUCUAGAGAUAG
This 506-nucleotide ribosomal RNA is filed under the name uncultured bacterium. RNAcentral describes it as "bacterial SSU rRNA". It matches the Rfam family "Bacterial small subunit ribosomal RNA", at positions 501 to 1009 of the family's 1533-position model. The record is from RNAcentral.